GCGAGUGAAGCGGCAAAAGCUCAAAUUUGAAAUCUGGUACCUUCGGUGCCCGAGUUGUAAUUUGAAGAUUGUACUCUGGAGUUGGCCCUUGUCUAUGUUCCUUGGAACAGGACGUCACAGAGGGUGAGAAUCCCGUGCGAUGGGGUGUCCAAUUCCAUGUAGAGUGCUAUCGAAGAGUCGAGUUGUUUGGGAAUGCAGCUCUAAGUGGGUGGUAAAUUCCAUCUAAAGCUAAAUAUUGGCGAGAGACCGAUAGCGAACAAGUACAGUGAUGGAAAGAUGAAAAGAACUUUGAAAAGAGAGUGAAAAAGUACGUGAAAUUGUUGAAAGGGAAGGUUAUUAGAUCAGACUUGGUGUUUGGCGAUAUUCAGUCUCUUGUAGGCUGUUCACUCGUCUUUCACUGGGCCAGCAUCGGUUUGGAUGGCAGGAUAAUGGCUGUUGAACGUGGCUCUUCGGAGUGUUAUAGCUUCAGCUGAUACUGCCUAUCUAGACCGAGGACUGCGGCUUUCGAGCCUAGGAUGCUGGCGUAAUGAUCUAAUAUCGCCC
Molecule: ribosomal RNA, 543 nt
Filed under: Waltiozyma solani
Lineage: Eukaryota; Fungi; Ascomycota; Saccharomycetes; Phaffomycetales; Wickerhamomycetaceae
Description: eukaryotic LSU rRNA
Rfam family: Eukaryotic large subunit ribosomal RNA
Source: RNAcentral